CGGACCGACCAAUGGGAGCGCGGAGGAAAAGGGGCGGCCGCGGAGCUGGAGCCGCCAUGAUGGCACCAGCGGGAUGGUGGAGCUGUGGGGUUCUGUGCGAGGAAAGCGGUGCUUCGUCGCCCUACGUCCCCGCCGCCGCCUGCCCUGUGCCUCGGGUGUCGCCGGGCGGUCAGGGGAAGUCGGCGCAGGGGCACCUGCUGGCCCUAUUCGUCCCUCGUCAGAAUCCAGCCAUCCUCCGGAGGGGGUACCGAGCUGUCCUCCGUCGUUGCAGCGGGGCACUGCUGGGCUGUGAGAAGCGGCGGCUGACCACGAGCAGCGGAACCCUCCCAGUCUCCGGCAGCAGCUCCUGGCUGAGCCGGGCAGCCCUGAAAGAGAGGGACUGAUCCCACGGGUCGAGACGUGUUCAAGCCUGGCAGAGGUUCAGGCGAGCGCCUUCGGUUCUUGCUUGGCUCAAAUCAGCAGCAGCGAGUGCUGAGUUCCUGCCCCGCAGGUGGAGUCCUCAACUGCUGUUUUCCCAUGCAUAAAUAUAGAAAGUUUACCUAAAGGACAAGUGAUGGAGUGAUGGGGAUUAUUCAAGACCCCCUUUUUACUGUAAUGAAAAGAAUCUCAAAAAGAAUUGUUAGUACCAAUAAAUGACACUAGAUGACAGCAGAGACCAUAAAAUACUAAUUUUGCUGGUCUUAAAUGCAGAAACAUUUCAUUCCCACAAAGCUGCAAGAGGGGAACGAUUGUUAGGAUGGCAACUGGUUGGGAAUAUGGUCAUUUAUCUGCUUAUUGCUCUGUAUGUUAAAUGAUUAAAUGUUUAGCAUUCAUUUUUCUACAUUUCUGCCUGCAGUUCAUUCUGCAGCUCCAAAG
This is a long non-coding RNA of Gallus gallus (chicken), 855 nucleotides long. NCBI's taxonomy places the organism in Eukaryota, Metazoa, Chordata, Aves, Galliformes, Phasianidae. The record is from Ensembl.